AGAAUCAACGCUGGCGGCGUGCCUAACACAUGCAAGUCGAACGAGAAAGGGUAGCAAUACCUAAGUAAAGUGGCGCACGGGUGAGUAACACGUGACUAACCUACCCUGGAGUGGGGGAUAACUGAGGGAAACCUUAGCUAAUACCGCAUAACACCUACGGGUCAAAGGAGCAAUUCGCUUCAGGAGGGGGUCGCGGCCGAUUAGUUAGUUGGCGGGGUAAUGGCCCACAAGACAGUGAUCGGUAU
This 245-nucleotide ribosomal RNA is filed under the name uncultured bacterium. RNAcentral's name for it is "partial small subunit ribosomal RNA". It matches the Rfam family "Bacterial small subunit ribosomal RNA", at positions 26 to 286 of the family's 1533-position model. The record is from RNAcentral.